UUUUUUUUUUUUUUUUUGGCUGGCCAGAAGUUCCUAGGCCAGGGAUUGAACUCAAGCCACAGCAGUGACCUGAGCCAUAGCAGUGACAAUGCUUGAUCUUUAGCCGGCAAGGCUACCAGGAAAUUCUUAUAGGUCAAAAUUACUGAAUAAAGUUUUGCCUUCUCUCUUCUAAAAUCAGUUUUCCUUAAGGGACUGUCAAAAUCUUAUACUUACAUUAUUGAAUCUUGAAAGUUGAUAUGCAUAAUAGUGUUCUUUUUCCUUUAAAAUACAUACCUAAUGAACUAGUUUGAAACAGCAUCUGAGCUAUCAAAUCCAGCCAGCAGUGGUAAACACUUUAAAGGGUUCUUCAAUUAAAAAAAAAAAAAAACCUGGUAAGUUAUAAUUCUAAUUAACAAGGUAAACCAGAAGAGGAUAACCUGUUACCAACCAUUAUCAAUUUAAAGGUGAUUAAUGCAUUGGACUAAUCUCUAGCAGAAUGAGACAGAGGGAAUAAAAUGAAGGACUGGCCAUUUUUUUUUUUUUUUUUGUCUUUUUGUCUUUUUUUUGGUUGUUGUUGUUGUUGUUGUUGCUAUUUCUUGGGCCGCUCCCGCGGCAUAUGGAGUGGCCCAAGAAAUGGCAAAAAGACAAAAAAUAAAAUAAAAAAUAAAAGUUAAUAGAGGGUGAAAAUUUUAAACUCAUCCAUUGACUAAGCCUCAGUUGCAAAUAUGAUCGAUUCUGUUACUAUUUCAAAUAAAUGUUAAAAGUACUAGUGUCCUUCUUUAUUCUCAUGUUAACAUUCUGUAGACAAAUGAAAACUCAAAUGCUUUGUAAAAGACAUAAUUUCAUUAAUCUUUACAUAGUCUCUCUAAGGUUUAUGUUUAAUACCUGUCUUUUUCCCUCUGUCCUUCAAAAUCCAAUGAGCCAUAAAAUCAUAAUUAAGAUAUAUUUGAUAACAGCCUCACACAUGUAUUACUCAAACUACUAGCUGGUGCAUCACAUUUCAAAAAGUUGGUCAGCUGGAAUCUGGAUUUAAGGUGAAUCAAUUAUAUGUCAAUUAUAUUUCAAUACUGCUGGGGGAGAAGAUGGAUCAACAAUGUUAGAACUAAGUCUGGCUAUUUAAUUUAUUUUAAAAAGAAAGAAGGAAAACGUUUUCUGAAUUUCAUACUCCUUAAGAUUUUGAAUAAAUUUGUUGACAGUUUCAAAUAAAGCUUAUCCUCAAGGUACUUUUAAGGGAGUUAGUUACCUAUCAGACAGAGAGUUUAAUGAAUUAAAGAACAGCAGCAAGAAAAGUGUAUGGUCCAGGCUUCGCAGUCACAAAAAACUCAAAAAGAGGGCAUACGUAUAGUCACAAGAGAGACACUGCUGACCAAGUUGAAAGAUAAGCCAUUCAUUACAGUGCACUGAGAAUAUUUUUAUAAAUUACACAAUCACCCUAUGAAUAACUUAAUUACACUGAUUUUCAUACUAGAAAAACUAACUUACUAAAUUAAGAUAGUUAAAAUAUUCAACAAUUUUUGUAACCUGUUUGGCAUUUCCUUCAUUUUUCAAAGUCACUGGAAACCAACGGUAUACCACAGGGUGGGGCAUGGUAGGAGUGUCCCACCCCAGCAGGGAGAAACAGUUUUAUCACUGGCAUUUUAAAAAACUGCUGGCAUAUGGUGAUAAUUAAAAGCAGAUCAAAUUUCAAUUUUAUUAUUAAAAAAAAUUCUCUUAACACUCCUUAUAGCCCUAGGCUGGACUUCCCCUCCAACCCCUGCUGGAAACCUCCAAAAAUGGAAAUAGCUAAGAUCUUGUCACAAUCCCUGGCAUACUCUGUGGUUACUUAUCAUUCUUAAGUGACUUCAUUGCUAUUUUCUUCUCUUCCUUUUAUUCCUCCUGUUCAUUUAAAUUUAAGCAUUUUACAAAGGAGAUAGUAAAGCCGAAUUUAGAUCUUACUGAAUUAUUAGGUUGGAAUAGGAGAAACAGAAACAACAUACUGCUCAUUUGGUAAAAUACUGCUCUCAGAACAUGAAUUAUAAUACUCAUGUGCUCAAAAUCCAAAACACUUUAAAAUGAAAAUAGAGCUUUUAGUUGCUAGAAAAAUGAGAAGUGAGCUCUUGGAAAUU
Molecule: long non-coding RNA, 2084 nt
Filed under: Sus scrofa (pig)
Lineage: Eukaryota; Metazoa; Chordata; Mammalia; Artiodactyla; Suidae
Description: lncRNA (ENSSSCG00025032509.1)
Source: RNAcentral